GGUGAGGUGGCCGAGUGGUUAUGGCGCUAGUUUCAGGUAUAGAACACUAUACGCCGAAAUGGAUCAACACACAUUACUAGUGGAGCAAUCCUCGUGGGUUCGAGUCCCACCCUCAUCA
This is a non-coding RNA of Hortaea werneckii EXF-2000, 118 nucleotides long. The record is from Rfam. Lineage: Eukaryota; Fungi; Ascomycota; Dothideomycetes; Mycosphaerellales; Teratosphaeriaceae.